UGGGGAAUAUUGCACAAUGGGCGCAAGCCUGAUGCAGCCAUGCCGCGUGUAUGAAGAAGGCCUUCGGGUUGUAAAGUACUUUCAGCGGGGAGGAAGGCGGCAAGGUUAAUAACCUUGCCGAUUGACGUUACCCGCAGAAGAAGCACCGGCUAACUCCGUGCCAGCAGCCGCGGUAAUACGGAGGGUGCAAGCGUUAAUCGGAAUUACUGGGCGUAAAGCGCACGCAGGCGGUCUGUUAAGUCAGAUGUGAAAUCCCCGGGCUUAACCUGGGAACUGCAUUUGAAACUGGCAGGCUUGAGUCUCGUAGAGGGGGGUAGAAUUCCAGGUGUAGCGGUGAAAUGCGUAGAGAUCUGGAGGAAUACCGGUGGCGAAGGCGGCCCCCUGGACGAAGACUGACGCUCAGGUGCGAAAGCGUGGGGAGCAAACAGG
RNAcentral lists this ribosomal RNA (429 nucleotides) under Acidobacteriota bacterium. RNAcentral describes it as "Acidobacteria bacterium partial 16S ribosomal RNA". It matches the Rfam family "Bacterial small subunit ribosomal RNA", at positions 355 to 776 of the family's 1533-position model. The record is from RNAcentral. Lineage: Bacteria; Pseudomonadati; Acidobacteriota.